This 254-nucleotide ribosomal RNA is filed under the name uncultured bacterium. RNAcentral's name for it is "partial 16S ribosomal RNA". It matches the Rfam family "Bacterial small subunit ribosomal RNA", at positions 524 to 776 of the family's 1533-position model. The record is from RNAcentral.
UACGUAGGCAGCAAGCGUUGUUCGGAGUUACUGGGCGUAAAGGGUGCGUAGGCGGCUUCUUUAAGUCUGGUGUGAAAUCUCCCGGCUCAACUGGGAGGGUGCGCCGGAUACUGAGGGGCUAGAGUGUGGGAGAGGAAAGUGGAAUUCCUGGUGUAGCGGUGAAAUGCGUAGAUAUCAGGAGGAACACCGGUGGUGUAAACGGCUUUCUGGACCAUAACUGACGCUGAGGAGCGAAAGCAUGGGGAGCGAACAGG